GGUUAAGCGACUAAGCGUACACGGUGGAUGCCCUGGCAGUCAGAGGCGAUGAAGGACGUGCUAAUCUGCGAUAAGCGUCGGUAAGGUGAUAUGAACCGUUAUAACCGGCGAUUUCCGAAUGGGGAAACCCAGUGUGUUUCGACACACUAUCAUUAACUGAAUCCAUAGGUUAAUGAGGCGAACCGGGGGAACUGAAACAUCUAAGUACCCCGAGGAAAAGAAAUCAACCGAGAUUCCCCCAGUAGCGGCGAGCGAACGGGGAGGAGCCCAGAGCCUGAAUCAGUGUGUGUGUUAGUGGAAGCGUCUGGAAAGGCGCGCGAUACAGGGUGACAGCCCCGUACACAAAAAUGCACAUGCUGUGAGCUCGAUGAGUAGGGCGGGACACGUGGUAUCCUGUCUGAAUAUGGGGGGACCAUCCUCCAAGGCUAAAUACUCCUGACUGACCGAUAGUGAACCAGUACCGUGAGGGAAAGGCGAAAAGAACCCCGGCGAGGGGAGUGAAAAAGAACCUGAAACCGUGUACGUACAAGCAGUGGGAGCCUCUUUAUGGGGUGACUGCGUACCUUUUGUAUAAUGGGUCAGCGACUUAUAUUCUGUAGCAAGGUUAACCGAAUAGGGGAGCCGAAGGGAAACCGAGUCUUAACUGGGCGUUAAGUUGCAGGGUAUAGACCCGAAACCCGGUGAUCUAGCCAUGGGCAGGUUGAAGGUUGGGUAACACUAACUGGAGGACCGAACCGACUAAUGUUGAAAAAUUAGCGGAUGACUUGUGGCUGGGGGUGAAAGGCCAAUCAAACCGGGAGAUAGCUGGUUCUCCCCGAAAGCUAUUUAGGUAGCGCCUCGUGAAUUCAUCUCCGGGGGUAGAGCACUGUUUCGGCAAGGGGGUCAUCCCGACUUACCAACCCGAUGCAAACUGCGAAUACCGGAGAAUGUUAUCACGGGAGACACACGGCGGGUGCUAACGUCCGUCGUGAAGAGGGAAACAACCCAGACCGCCAGCUAAGGUCCCAAAGUCAUGGUUAAGUGGGAAACGAUGUGGGAAGGCCCAGACAGCCAGGAUGUUGGCUUAGAAGCAGCCAUCAUUUAAAGAAAGCGUAAUAGCUCACUGGUCGAGUCGGCCUGCGCGGAAGAUGUAACGGGGCUAAACCAUG
RNAcentral lists this ribosomal RNA (1148 nucleotides) under Escherichia coli. Its description in RNAcentral is "partial 23S ribosomal RNA". It matches the Rfam family "Bacterial large subunit ribosomal RNA", at positions 1 to 1191 of the family's 2925-position model. Lineage: Bacteria; Pseudomonadati; Pseudomonadota; Gammaproteobacteria; Enterobacterales; Enterobacteriaceae. The record is from RNAcentral.